UACGAGGGGGGCUAGUGUUGUUCGGAAUCACUGGGCGUAAAGGGCGCGUAGGCGGUAGCCUAAGUUUGGUGUUUAAUUCCGGGGCCCAACCCCGGGCGUGCACUCAAAACUGGGUUUCUUGAAUAGGGGAGAGGUCGGUGGAAUUGGAGGUGUAGCGGUGGAAUGCGUAGAGAUCUCCAAGAACACCCGUUGCGAAGGCGGCCGACUGGACCCAUAUUGACGCUGAGGCUCGAAAGCAUGGGGAGCAAACAGG
RNAcentral lists this ribosomal RNA (253 nucleotides) under uncultured bacterium. RNAcentral describes it as "partial 16S ribosomal RNA". It matches the Rfam family "Bacterial small subunit ribosomal RNA", at positions 524 to 776 of the family's 1533-position model. The record is from RNAcentral.